GACGAACGCUGGCGGCGUGCUUAACACAUGCAAGUCGAACGGAAAGGCCCUGCUUUUGUGGGGUGCUCGAGUGGCGAACGGGUGAGUAACACGUGAGUAAACUGCCCUUGACUUUGGGAUAACUUCAGGAAACUGGGGCUAAUAUCGGAUAGGAGCUCCUGCUGCAUGGUGGGGGUUGGAAAGUUUCGGCGGUUGGGUAUGGACUCGCGGCUUAUCAGCUUGUUUGUCGGGUAGUGGAUUACCAAGGCUUUGACGGGUAGCCGGCCUGAGAGGGUGGCCGGCCACAUUGGGACUGAGAUACGGCCCAGACUGCUACGGGAGGCAGCAGUGGGGAAUAUUGCACAAUGGGCGGAAGCCUGAGGCAGCAACGCCGCGUGCGGGAUGACGGCCUACGGGUUGUAAACCGCUUUCGCCUGUGACGAAGCGUGAGUGACGGUAAUGGGUAAAGAAGCACCGGCUAACUACGUG
RNAcentral lists this ribosomal RNA (468 nucleotides) under uncultured bacterium. RNAcentral's name for it is "partial 16S ribosomal RNA". It matches the Rfam family "Bacterial small subunit ribosomal RNA", at positions 28 to 507 of the family's 1533-position model. The record is from RNAcentral.